UACAGAGGUCUCGAGCGUUGUUCGGAUUCAUUGGGCGUAAAGCGCACGUAGGCGGCUUGGCAAGUCGGAUGUGGAAUCCCUCGGCUCAACCAAGGAAGUGCAUCCGAAACUGCUGAGCUUGAGUACGAAAGAGGAUCGCGGAAUUCCCGGUGUAGAGGUGAAAUUCGUAGAUAUCGGGAGGAACACCAGUGGCGAAGGCGGCGAUCUGGGUCGAUACUGACGCUGAGGUGCGAAAGCGUGGGGAGCAAACAGG
This 253-nucleotide ribosomal RNA is filed under the name uncultured bacterium. RNAcentral's name for it is "partial 16S ribosomal RNA". It matches the Rfam family "Bacterial small subunit ribosomal RNA", at positions 524 to 776 of the family's 1533-position model. The record is from RNAcentral.